Long non-coding RNA from Cercocebus atys (sooty mangabey), 1315 nucleotides. RefSeq lists it as uncharacterized. The transcript is spliced from 2 exons. Lineage: Eukaryota; Metazoa; Chordata; Mammalia; Primates; Cercopithecidae. The record is from RefSeq and is a predicted model, not a curated record.
AUGUAAGUCAGUGGUGAAUUAAAUACCUCAGAGCCAUAUGACCUGAGACUUAUUUCUGUUGUCUACUCACAGUGAGGCACUUUACAGAAAUAUAACUCUUUAGUUGCUACUUACACAAUUUCAACUGAAGUUUUAAGUUAGAAAGUGUAAAAGCAAUGAUCCUCACUAUAACACUUCAAUGUGCAGCAAUAUUGUAAGAAAUAUAAAUGCUACAAAUUGGUUUGUUAAGAUGAGGUAGUUAAAUAUCAUGAGAGUGCCACUGUUUACCCACUCUUUAGUCUGUGGUCAUUUGUUUUAAUUUUUACUUACAUGACUUGGUUGCUAACUAGGAUAUUUUUUAGUACAAAUGAUGCAAAUAUCUGUGUUACGUACUACCAGAAAUUCAAAAAGGAGAUAAAAAGAGCUCUAUUCUCCAAGGGACUAUGUGACUAGAUCCCUUAAAAGCAGAUUCAAAUAAGAAAAACUCAAUCACACUAACUUUGAGUUGUGCUUUAAAAUUUUUUGCUAUUUGUCUGAAUCCUGACAAAAUGUGUACUGAGGGUAGCAAAACAUAUUUGUGUAUACAGGUACAGCUGCACUUCAUUGAUUAAUUUCUCCAUGUAACAGAUUUUUAUUGAGCAUAUGUUAUGUGCUUAAAACAGGAGAUAAGUAGUAAACAAGAAAAAUAAAGAAGAUAGUGAUGAUGUUGAUAAUGAUAAUAACAGCUAGCCUGUAUUGAGUGCUACCUAUGUGUCAGGUAUUUAUGUGGAUUAUUAAUCCUCAUGGUAACAAUAUGAGGCAGGUUCUAUUAUCAUUCCACUUUGCAGGUGAGGGAAUAGAUUUAGGGAGACCUCACAGCUAGGAAAUAGUGCAACCUAAACUCAACACUGCAAUUCUGACUCCCAGGGCCAGAUUCCUAACUAACAACACGCAAACACAUUCAUUUUCCUCAUGGAGCAUAUGUUCCAGCUACCUGUUUAUUUAACAAAUAUUUAUCAAGUGUCUACUUUGUGCCAGGCACAGUCCUAGGCCCUGAGUUACAGAGAUAAAGAGUUUGACAGGGUCAUUGCUAUCAUGGCUUAUACCUUCCAGAGCCUCUAAAAGAGGUUUUGUAAAAAGGGAGAAAGUAUGCACGUAUUAAUGCAAGUACUAGACAUAAUUGAGGUAAUUAAUAACAUUGACAAGAAUUACUACACUAUUGAAAUAUAAUACAGUUUCUUUAAAAAUACAUACUGUAUAUUCUGAAAGGGCAAUGUUAUUUUUACAUCUUAAAAGGAAUUCAUUUUCAUCUCUGGUUCAAAAUGUAUACCUUUAAAAAAAAAAAAAAAAACUUUUA